CUUGGGUUGAUCCCGCCGGACCCGACUGCUAUCGGAUUGAGAUUUAGCCAUGCGAGUCGAACGUCCCCCUGUUGCGGGGGGCGUGGCGUACGGCUCAGUAACACGUAGUCAACCUGCCCUGGAGACAAGGACAACCCCGGGAAACUGGGAUUAAUCCUUGAUAGGUCAUCUCAUCUGGAAGGAGAGAUGGCUUAAAGGGGUACGCGGGCUUCUUCCGCGAAUCUGCUCCAGGAUGGGACUGCGUCCGAUCAGGCUGUUGGCGGGGUAAUGGCCCACCAAACCUGUAACCGGUACGGGCCUUGAGAGAGGUGGCCCGGAGAUGGACACUGAGAGAAGGGUCCAGGUCCUACGGGGCGCAGCAGGCGCGAAACCUUCGCAAUGCGCGAAAGCGUGACGAGGUUAAUCCGAGUGACUCCCGCUGAGGGGGUCUUUUGUCAGCUGUAAAUAGGCAGGCGAAUAAGGGGAGGGCAAGCCUGGUGUCAGCCGCCGCGGUAAUACCAGCUCCUCGAGUGGUCGGGGCGAUUAUUGGGCCUAAAGCAUCCGUAGCCGGUUCCGUAGGUCCUCUGUUAAAUCCAACCGCUUAACGGUUGACCUGCAGAGGAUACCGCGGGACUAGGAGGCGGGAGAGGCGGACGGUACUCCGCGUGUAGGGGUAAAAUCCUUUGAUCCGCGGAAGACCACCAGUGGCGAAGGCGGUCCGCCAGAACGCGCUCGACGGUGAGGGAUGAAAGCUGGGGGAGCGAACCGGAUUAGAUACCCGGGUAGUCCCAGCCGUAAACGAUGCUAGCUAGAUGAUUCAUUCGCAAGUCGCGAAUGAAGUGUCGCAGGGAAGCCGUUAAGCUAGCCGCCUGGGGAGUACGGUCGCAAGACUGAAACUUAAAGAAAUUGGCGGGGGAGCA
RNAcentral lists this ribosomal RNA (899 nucleotides) under uncultured archaeon. Its description in RNAcentral is "bacterial SSU rRNA". It matches the Rfam family "Archaeal small subunit ribosomal RNA", at positions 1 to 878 of the family's 1478-position model. The record is from RNAcentral.